CAUAUAUAUGGGUUUUUAAUUUUUCAUUAUAUUUGAUUUCAAAUUUCAUUGCAAUGUCAUCUUAAAUUUAUGUAUAAUUUUAAUUAGCAAUAAUCACACCUCAGAUAAACCUUAUUGGCUAUGAUACUGCCACUGCACAAAGCU
Molecule: small nuclear RNA, 144 nt
Filed under: Cricetulus griseus (Chinese hamster)
Lineage: Eukaryota; Metazoa; Chordata; Mammalia; Rodentia; Cricetidae
Description: U4 spliceosomal RNA
Source: RNAcentral